GCAUAUCAAUAAGCGGAGGAAAAGAAACCAACCGGGAUUGCCUCAGUAACGGCGAGUGAAGCGGCAAGAGCUCAAAUUUGAAAGCUGGCCCCUUCGGGGUCCGCGUUGUAAUUUGCAGAGGAUGCUUCGGGUGCGGCCCCUGUCUAAGUGCCCUGGAACGGGCCGUCAGAGAGGGUGAGAAUCCCGUCUUGGGCAGGGUGCCCGUGCCCGUGUGAAGCUCCUUCGACGAGUCGAGUUGUUUGGGAAUGCAGCUCUAAAUGGGUGGUAAAUUUCAUCUAAAGCUAAAUACCGGCCGGAGACCGAUAGCGCACAAGUAGAGUGAUCGAAAGAUGAAAAGCACUUUGAAAAGAGAGUUAAACAGCACGUGAAAUUGUUGAAAGGGAAGCGCUUGCGACCAGACUCGGCCCCGGGGUUCAGCCAGCACUCGUGCUGGUGUACUUCCCCGGGGGCGGGCCAGCGUCGGUUUGGGCGGCCGGUCAAAGGCCCCAGGAAUGUAUCGCCCUCCGGGGUUGUCUUAUAGCCUGGGGUGCAAUGCGGCCAGCCCGGACCGAGGAACGCGCUUCGGCACGGACGCUGGCGUAAUGGUCGCAAACGACCCGUCUUGAAACACGGACCAAGGAGUCUAACAUCUACGCGAGUGUUCGGGUGUCAAACCCGUACGCGCAGUGAAAGCGAACGGAGGUGGGAGCCCCCCCGGGGCGCACCAUCGACCGAUCCUGAUGUCUUCGGAUGGAUUUGAGUAAGAGCGUAGCUGUGGGGACCCGAAAGAUGGUGAACUAUGCCUGAAUAGGGCGAAGCCAGAGGAAACUCUGGUGGAGGCUCGCAGCGGUUCUGACGUGCAAAUCGAUCGUCAAAUUUGGGUAUAGGGGCGAAAGACUAAUCGAACCAUCUGGUAGCUGGUUCCUGCCGAAGUU
This 914-nucleotide ribosomal RNA is filed under the name Aspergillus nidulans. RNAcentral describes it as "LSU rRNA". It matches the Rfam family "Eukaryotic large subunit ribosomal RNA", at positions 38 to 968 of the family's 3401-position model. The record is from RNAcentral. Lineage: Eukaryota; Fungi; Ascomycota; Eurotiomycetes; Eurotiales; Aspergillaceae.